AAAAAGCCAAAAACUCAUACAGACUUCUGCUACACCAUCAAAGCUUUAAGAAGCAACAAGAAGUUUGGUUAGUAUUUUGGAGUCAAAUAAGACUAUAUGUCAUGUGUAGUAUUGAGUAUAAGAACUAGAACCGCAACCGGUUCCCAAAAGCAAAAGUAGUGUUUCCUUGUCAGAAGAUACAAAGCCAAAGACUCAUACGGACUUCGGCUACACCAUGAAAGUUUUGAGAAGCAAUAAGAAGCUUGGUUAGUGUUUUGGAAUCAAAUAUGACUAGAUGUCAUGUGUAUGAUUGAGUAUAAGAACUAGAACGGCAACCGAUUCCCAAUUGCUAAA
RNAcentral lists this small RNA (333 nucleotides) under Arabidopsis thaliana (thale cress). RNAcentral describes it as "ATSL197820". The record is from RNAcentral. Lineage: Eukaryota; Viridiplantae; Streptophyta; Magnoliopsida; Brassicales; Brassicaceae.